This 399-nucleotide ribosomal RNA is filed under the name uncultured bacterium. RNAcentral describes it as "bacterial SSU rRNA". It matches the Rfam family "Bacterial small subunit ribosomal RNA", at positions 30 to 430 of the family's 1533-position model. The record is from RNAcentral.
AUUGAACGCUGGCGGCAUGCCUUACACAUGCAAGUCGAACGGCAGCACGGGAGCAAUCCUGGUGGCGAGUGGCGAACGGGUGAGUAAUGUAUCGGAACGUACCUUUCAGUGGGGGAUAACGUAGCGAAAGUUACGCUAAUACCGCAUAUUCUGUGAGCAGGAAAGCAGGGGAUCGCAAGACCUUGCGCUGAUUGAGCGGCCGAUAUCAGAUUAGCUAGUUGGUGAGGUAAAGGCUCACCAAGGCGACGAUCCUGUAGCGGGUCUGAGAGGAUGAUCCGCCACACUGGAACUGAGACACGGUCCAGACUCCUACGGGAGGCAGCAGUGGGGAAUUUUGGACAAUGGGCGCAAGCCUGAUCCAGCCAUGCCGCGUGAGUGAAGAAGGCCUCGGUUGUAAGG